This 253-nucleotide ribosomal RNA is filed under the name uncultured bacterium. RNAcentral describes it as "partial 16S ribosomal RNA". It matches the Rfam family "Bacterial small subunit ribosomal RNA", at positions 524 to 776 of the family's 1533-position model. The record is from RNAcentral.
UACGUAGGGGGCAAGCGUUAUCCGGAUUUACUGGGUGUAAAGGGAGCGUAGACGGCUUUGCAAGCCAGAUGUGAAAGCCCGGGGCUCAACCUCGGGACUGCAUUUGGAACUGUAUGGCUGGAGUGUCGGAGAGGCAGGCGGAAUUCCUAGUGUAGCGGUGGAAUGCGUAGAUAUUAGGAGGAACACCAGUGGCGAAGGCGGCCUGCUGGACGAUGACUGACGUUGAGGCUCGAAAGCGUGGGGAGCAAACAGG